AUAAAUUUGAUAUCUGUAAUAAGUUCGAUUAGCAAGCAAACCAUGCCAAGUUUCCAAAGGCAACUGCUUUAACUCGCCGGGUUGUGCUGGCUCUGCCGUCAAAGUAAAAGCAACUAGUGCGGUACUAACUUGCAAAUUUCUUCUUCCUAAAUGUGAACUUUCACAGGCAUUUUUGGACAAGACACGUCCAGUAAUUUGCUUUGCUGGAUUUGUUUUUU
RNAcentral lists this unclassified non-coding RNA (218 nucleotides) under Hevea brasiliensis (rubber tree). The record is from RNAcentral. Lineage: Eukaryota; Viridiplantae; Streptophyta; Magnoliopsida; Malpighiales; Euphorbiaceae.